RNAcentral lists this ribosomal RNA (538 nucleotides) under Penicillium sp. 'aff. echinulatum MS-2015'. RNAcentral's name for it is "eukaryotic LSU rRNA". The stretch from base 158 to 310 matches the Rfam family "5.8S ribosomal RNA". The record is from RNAcentral. Lineage: Eukaryota; Fungi; Ascomycota; Eurotiomycetes; Eurotiales; Aspergillaceae.
GGUCCACCUCCCACCCGUGUUUAUUUUACCUUGUUGCUUCGGCGGGCCCGCCUUAACUGGCCGCCGGGGGGCUCACGCCCCCGGGCCCGCGCCCGCCGAAGACACCCUCGAACUCUGUCUGAAGAUUGAAGUCUGAGUGAAAAUAUAAAUUAUUUAAAACUUUCAACAACGGAUCUCUUGGUUCCGGCAUCGAUGAAGAACGCAGCGAAAUGCGAUACGUAAUGUGAAUUGCAAAUUCAGUGAAUCAUCGAGUCUUUGAACGCACAUUGCGCCCCCUGGUAUUCCGGGGGGCAUGCCUGUCCGAGCGUCAUUGCUGCCCUCAAGCCCGGCUUGUGUGUUGGGCCCCGUCCUCCGAUUUCCGGGGGACGGGCCCGAAAGGCAGCGGCGGCACCGCGUCCGGUCCUCGAGCGUAUGGGGCUUUGUCACCCGCUCUGUAGGCCCGGCCGGCGCUUGCCGAUCAACCCAAAUUUUUAUCCAGGUUGACCUCGGAUCAGGUAGGGAUACCCGCUGAACUUAAGCAUAUCAAUAAGCGGAGGAA